This 2903-nucleotide ribosomal RNA is filed under the name Escherichia coli. Its description in RNAcentral is "23S ribosomal RNA". It matches the Rfam family "Bacterial large subunit ribosomal RNA". The record is from RNAcentral. Lineage: Bacteria; Pseudomonadati; Pseudomonadota; Gammaproteobacteria; Enterobacterales; Enterobacteriaceae.
UUAAGCGACUAAGCGUACACGGUGGAUGCCCUGGCAGUCAGAGGCGAUGAAGGACGUGCUAAUCUGCGAUAAGCGUCGGUAAGGUGAUAUGAACCGUUAUAACCGGCGAUUUCCGAAUGGGGAAACCCAGUGUGAUUCGUCACACUAUCAUUAACUGAAUCCAUAGGUUAAUGAGGCGAACCGGGGGAACUGAAACAUCUAAGUACCCCGAGGAAAAGAAAUCAACCGAGAUUCCCCCAGUAGCGGCGAGCGAACGGGGAGCAGCCCAGAGCCUGAAUCAGUGUGUGUGUUAGUGGAAGCGUCUGGAAAGGCGCGCGAUACAGGGUGACAGCCCCGUACACAAAAAUGCACAUACUGUGAGCUCGAUGAGUAGGGCGGGACACGUGGUAUCCUGUCUGAAUAUGGGGGGACCAUCCUCCAAGGCUAAAUACUCCUGACUGACCGAUAGUGAACCAGUACCGUGAGGGAAAGGCGAAAAGAACCCCGGCGAGGGGAGUGAAAAAGAACCUGAAACCGUGUACGUACAAGCAGUGGGAGCACAGAGCAAUCUGUGUGACUGCGUACCUUUUGUAUAAUGGGUCAGCGACUUAUAUUCUGUAGCAAGGUUAACCGAAUAGGGGAGCCGAAGGGAAACCGAGUCUUAACUGGGCGUUAAGUUGCAGGGUAUAGACCCGAAACCCGGUGAUCUAGCCAUGGGCAGGUUGAAGGUUGGGUAACACUAACUGGAGGACCGAACCGACUAAUGUUGAAAAAUUAGCGGAUGACUUGUGGCUGGGGGUGAAAGGCCAAUCAAACCGGGAGAUAGCUGGUUCUCCCCGAAAGCUAUUUAGGUAGCGCCUCGUGAAUUCAUCUCCGGGGGUAGAGCACUGUUUCGGCAAGGGGGUCAUCCCGACUUACCAACCCGAUGCAAACUGCGAAUACCGGAGAAUGUUAUCACGGGAGACACACGGCGGGUGCUAACGUCCGUCGUGAAGAGGGAAACAACCCAGACCGCCAGCUAAGGUCCCAAAGUCAUGGUUAAGUGGGAAACGAUGUGGGAAGGCCCAGACAGCCAGGAUGUUGGCUUAGAAGCAGCCAUCAUUUAAAGAAAGCGUAAUAGCUCACUGGUCGAGUCGGCCUGCGCGGAAGAUGUAACGGGGCUAAACCAUGCACCGAAGCUGCGGCAGCGACGCUUAUGCGUUGUUGGGUAGGGGAGCGUUCUGUAAGCCUGCGAAGGUGUGCUGUGAGGCAUGCUGGAGGUAUCAGAAGUGCGAAUGCUGACAUAAGUAACGAUAAAGCGGGUGAAAAGCCCGCUCGCCGGAAGACCAAGGGUUCCUGUCCAACGUUAAUCGGGGCAGGGUGAGUCGACCCCUAAGGCGAGGCCGAAAGGCGUAGUCGAUGGGAAACAGGUUAAUAUUCCUGUACUUGGUGUUACUGCGAAGGGGGGACGGAGAAGGCUAUGUUGGCCGGGCGACGGUUGUCCCGGUUUAAGCGUGUAGGCUGGUUUUCCAGGCAAAUCCGGAAAAUCAAGGCUGAGGCGUGAUGACGAGGCACUACGGUGCUGAAGCAACAAAUGCCCUGCUUCCAGGAAAAGCCUCUAAGCAUCAGGUAACAUCAAAUCGUACCCCAAACCGACACAGGUGGUCAGGUAGAGAAUACCAAGGCGCUUGAGAGAACUCGGGUGAAGGAACUAGGCAAAAUGGUGCCGUAACUUCGGGAGAAGGCACGCUGAUAUGUAGGUGAAGCGACUUGCUCGUGGAGCUGAAAUCAGUCGAAGAUACCAGCUGGCUGCAACUGUUUAUUAAAAACACAGCACUGUGCAAACACGAAAGUGGACGUAUACGGUGUGACGCCUGCCCGGUGCCGGAAGGUUAAUUGAUGGGGUCAGCGCAAGCGAAGCUCUUGAUCGAAGCCCCGGUAAACGGCGGCCGUAACUAUAACGGUCCUAAGGUAGCGAAAUUCCUUGUCGGGUAAGUUCCGACCUGCACGAAUGGCGUAAUGAUGGCCAGGCUGUCUCCACCCGAGACUCAGUGAAAUUGAACUCGCUGUGAAGAUGCAGUGUACCCGCGGCAAGACGGAAAGACCCCGUGAACCUUUACUAUAGCUUGACACUGAACAUUGAGCCUUGAUGUGUAGGAUAGGUGGGAGGCUUGGAAGUGUGGACGCCAGUCUGCAUGGAGCCGACCUUGAAAUACCACCCUUUAAUGUUUGAUGUUCUAACGUUGACCCGUAAUCCGGGUUGCGGACAGUGUCUGGUGGGUAGUUUGACUGGGGCGGUCUCCUCCUAAAGAGUAACGGAGGAGCACGAAGGUUGGCUAAUCCUGGUCGGACAUCAGGAGGUUAGUGCAAUGGCAUAAGCCAGCUUGACUGCGAGCGUGACGGCGCGAGCAGGUGCGAAAGCAGGUCAUAGUGAUCCGGUGGUUCUGAAUGGAAGGGCCAUCGCUCAACGGAUAAAAGGUACUCCGGGGAUAACAGGCUGAUACCGCCCAAGAGUUCAUAUCGACGGCGGUGUUUGGCACCUCGAUGUCGGCUCAUCACAUCCUGGGGCUGAAGUAGGUCCCAAGGGUAUGGCUGUUCGCCAUUUAAAGUGGUACGCGAGCUGGGUUUAGAACGUCGUGAGACAGUUCGGUCCCUAUCUGCCGUGGGCGCUGGAGAAUUGAGGGGGGCUGCUCCUAGUACGAGAGGACCGGAGUGGACGCAUCACUGGUGUUCGGGUUGUCAUGCCAAUGGCACUGCCCGGUAGCUAAAUGCGGAAGAGAUAAGUGCUGAAAGCAUCUAAGCACGAAACUUGCCCCGAGAUGAGUUCUCCCUGACUCCUUGAGAGUCCUGAAGGAACGUUGAAGACGACGACGUUGAUAGGCCGGGUGUGUAAGCGCAGCGAUGCGUUGAGCUAACCGGUACUAAUGAACCGUGAGGCUUAACCU